GCCUGGGUGGCUCAGUCGGUUGAGCGUCUGACUUCAGCUCAGGUCACGAUCUCGCAGUCUGUGAGUUCGAGCCCCGCGUCAGGCU
This 85-nucleotide transfer RNA is filed under the name Felis catus (domestic cat). It matches the Rfam family "tRNA". Rfam says of the family: Transfer RNA (tRNA) molecules are approximately 80 nucleotides in length. Lineage: Eukaryota; Metazoa; Chordata; Mammalia; Carnivora; Felidae. The record is from Rfam by way of RNAcentral.